This is a long non-coding RNA of Rhododendron vialii, 421 nucleotides long. RefSeq lists it as uncharacterized. Lineage: Eukaryota; Viridiplantae; Streptophyta; Magnoliopsida; Ericales; Ericaceae. The transcript has 3 exons. The record is from RefSeq and is a predicted model, not a curated record.
AGAAAGAAAACCCAUCAGGAGGUUCCAACGUGAGAGAGAGAGAGAGAGAGAGAGAGAGAGAGAGAGAGAGAGAGAGAGAGAUCAGCCGGUGGAGAAGAAGAAGAAAGAAGGAAAGAAAGGAGGAAAUAGGUGACGAGUCGGUGAAUCAAGGAGCACCGAAACCAUAGUUGUACUUUCUUUUGGAGUACGAGUUUUGCAGGCGUUGUAGAUAUCCACUGCUGAUCGUCGUGGGGUUGUACACUCGCUUAGGGUAGCAUGUUGGGAAGGCUGGACUAGUUUUGGCAAAAUUUUGUAGAUAGGGAUGUAGUUGCAGCCUAUGUUCAUAUUUGGUUUAUUGUAUAGUUUAAUGCUUUCUUAAGACUUCCGCUGUGUUUGUAAGAACGUUAAGUUUUGCGUUAUCAAUAAAAUGGUUGUUGGUUAA